CAAUAAGAGAAUGAGGUGUAAAGGUGUUUCUCGUUCAGUAGAUGUACAGCUUAAUUAUUAUUGAGUGAGUGCUCAGAGAAGGUGAAAAGCCUGUGUGGUUGUGUCUAUCUGCUGAACAGUUUCACUUACGAGUCUAGUUGUUUGAGAGUACAACUUAAAGUUGGUGGUAAAUUUCAUCAAAGGCUAAAUAUAUGAGGGGACUAAUAGCGAACAAGUACCAUGAGGGAAAGUUGAAAAGAACUCUGACGAGAGAGUUACACAGUACGUGAAACCAUACUGAGUAAAACAGAUAACUGUGUUGUUACGUGGUGUGCCUAUCAACAGCGCUGACGGUGAUGUGAGGGCGCGAGAGCAAGCUGUUCUUCAGUUGAUAGCUCGCGUCCAGCAGAGCCGGGACUGUGUAUUAGUGCAUACUCGAUCAUUGAGAAACGAUGCUGCUGCGACAUCGGUAUUUAUCCGUCCGUACCUAGUGCGAGGUUAUAUGCUGGGCGUUACAGCUAGCGGCGUCGUUUAGCUACUUUGUGAGAGCUGUGGAGUGCGUUUGUUGAACGUACCUGCUUUGUCUGCGAAUUAGUUUAUUCUUUUUCGCGGUGAGUAUGGUGCGGUAGGCAAGUGCUCCGCCAUCAAUGGUUUUUAACAUUAGUUAUUUGACCCGUCUUGAAACACGGACCAAGGAGUUCAAAUGGCACGCGAGUCAUUGGGUUUAAACACCCGAAGGCGAAGUGAAAUGCAAAUUUAUCGUCACUCGUGCAAUGUACGAUUCAGCGAUAAGCUACUCAUGCUUUCUGGCAUUUGUAGACUAAAAGCGUGAUGUUUGAGACCCGAAAGAUGGUGACCUAUGCCUAGUCAAGAUGAAGCCAGAGGAAACUCUGGUGGAUGUCUGAAGUUAUUCUGACGUGCAAAUCGAUAAUCUGAUCUGGGUAUAGGGGCGAAAGACUAAUCGAACCAUCUAGUAGCUGGUUCCUUCCGAAGUUUCCCUCAGGAUAGCAAGCGUACAUUUUUUAGUUUCAUCCCGUAAAGCGAAUGAUUAGAGGCAUUGGGGCAUAUAUAGCCUCAACCUAUUCUCAAACUUUUAAUGGGUGUGAGCGUUCUUUCUUGAUUGAAGAACGCUGCUAAAUAAGUAUGCUUAGUGGGCCAUUUUUGGUAAGCAGAACUGGCGCUGUGGGUUGAACCAAAUGUUAAGUUAAAGUGCCUAAAGCUGGAAUGCGCAUGAGAUCUAUAAAGGGUGUUAGUUGCUGAAGACAGCAGG
This 1249-nucleotide ribosomal RNA is filed under the name Ameroseius sp. APGD-2010. RNAcentral's name for it is "eukaryotic LSU rRNA". It matches the Rfam family "Eukaryotic large subunit ribosomal RNA", at positions 133 to 1244 of the family's 3401-position model. The record is from RNAcentral. Lineage: Eukaryota; Metazoa; Arthropoda; Arachnida; Mesostigmata; Ameroseiidae.